This 78-nucleotide transfer RNA is filed under the name Shimwellia blattae DSM 4481 = NBRC 105725. RNAcentral's name for it is "tRNA-Gly". It matches the Rfam family "tRNA". Rfam says of the family: Transfer RNA (tRNA) molecules are approximately 80 nucleotides in length. Their secondary structure includes four short double-helical elements and three loops (D, anti-codon, and T loops). Further hydrogen bonds mediate the characteristic L-shaped molecular structure. tRNAs have two regions of fundamental functional importance: the anti-codon, which is responsible for specific mRNA codon recognition, and the 3' end, to which the tRNAs corresponding amino acid is attached (by aminoacyl-tRNA synthetases). tRNAs cope with the degeneracy of the genetic code in two manners: having more than one tRNA (with a specific anti-codon) for a particular amino acid; and 'wobble' base-pairing, i.e. permitting non-standard base-pairing at the 3rd anti-codon position. Lineage: Bacteria; Pseudomonadati; Pseudomonadota; Gammaproteobacteria; Enterobacterales; Enterobacteriaceae. The record is from RNAcentral.
GCGGGCAUCGUAUAAUGGCUAUUACCUCAGCCUUCCAAGCUGAUGAUGCGGGUUCGAUUCCCGCUGCCCGCUCCAGAU